This 422-nucleotide ribosomal RNA is filed under the name uncultured bacterium. Its description in RNAcentral is "bacterial SSU rRNA". It matches the Rfam family "Bacterial small subunit ribosomal RNA", at positions 360 to 773 of the family's 1533-position model. The record is from RNAcentral.
AAUAUUGGACAAUGGGGGCAACCCUGAUCCAGCCAUGCCGCGUGAGUGACGAAGAUCUUCGGGUCGUAAACUCCUUUCGAUCGAGACGAACGGCCUCCGGGUGAAUAAUCCGGAGGAGUGACGGUACCGAGAGAAGAAGCCCCGGCUAACUCCGUUCCAGCAGCCGCGGUAAUACGAAGGGGGCUAGCGUUGCUCGGAAUCACUGGGCGUAAAGCGCACGUAGGCGGCUUCUUAAGUCAGGGGUGAAAUCCUGGAGCUCAACUCCAGAACUGCCUUUGAUACUGAGAAGCUUGAGUCCGGGAGAGGUGAGUGGAACUGCGAGUGUAGAGGUGAAAUUCGUAGAUAUUCGCAAGAACACCAGUGGCGAAGGCGGCUCACUGGCCCGGUACUGACGCUGAGGUGCGAAAGCGUGGGGAGCAAAC